AAACCUCGGACCAAUGGCAGCGCUGUGACGCUAACUCUAGAGAGGGCGGAGGCACGUGUCUGAGCCCUUCGAAUAGAAACCUUCCGCGCAGCGGCAGCGAUUGAGGGGUCAGACCGGCCCUGGCUUACCUCUCCAGGCUGUACUUCCGGUAGCCACAGAGAGUCGCAUCGGCCGGACCGGAACUAUAGAGAGCGGAGGGCAGAGACUCGCGGGACAGCGCGGUGGUGGGCGGGGCCUCGCCCCAGGAACAGGCUCUUGUCAUGCUGCGUGACAGGAGGGACGCAGCGCCCCAGGCCCGGACCUGCGCUUCCCCCGCUGGGGCAUAAGCCGUUUUAGGGGCGGAAACAGGUGUUCCUGCCACCCCGCGUGUUUGAGUGGCAGACAGCGACCCGCAGAUGAACCUAGAGUGAGUUGCUGAAUGUUGAAGGAAGAAAGAGAGUUCCUAGCAGUCAUUAGCCUUCCUGUAAAGGUAACUUAAAGGGAAAGAGCAAUGGGACAAGAAUCAGGAUUCAGAAACAGAAAUGGGCAAUAAACAAACCAUUUUCACUCCAGAGCAGCUGGAUGCGUAUCAGGACUGCACAUUCUUUACAAGGAAAGAAAUUCUGAGGGGAAAAGGUCUGCUCAUUUCAAAGGCAAGAUUGUUUUACAGAUACCGAGACCUGGCCCCACAGCUGGUCCCACUCAGCUACAUAGAUAAACCAGAUGUGAAGCUUCCCUAUGAACUCAUUGGCAGCAUGGCAGAGCUGAAGGACAAUCCAUUCCGUCAACGGAUAGCAGAAGUUUUCUCAGAGGAUGGAGAGGGCAACAUGACUUUAGAUGACUUUUUGGACAUGUUUUCAGUGCUGAGUGAAAUGGCUCCCAGAGACCUCAAAGCUUACUAUGCCUUUAAAAUUUAUGAUUUUAACAAUGAUGAUUACAUAUGCAAAUCAGACUUGGAGAAAACUGUUAACAAACUGACCAGAAAUGAACUUACUCCAGAGGAGGUUUGUCUUGUAUGUGAUAAGGUGAUUGAUGAAGCUGAUCAAGACAAUGAUGGCAGACUCUCUGUGGAAGAUUUUCAGCACAUGAUAGUAGGAGCUCCUGAUUUCCUCAGUACAUUUCACAUUCGAAUCUGAAUCUGGUGAAAGAGAGAGAUGAGAACUGCAUCUUGAGUCUGCACUAUGUCAUUACCUUUUGCUUGAGGUUACUGUUCAUAUGAAAGAGAUAAAUAAAGAGGACCAAAUAAGGAUUUUCAGACACUGAAGAGCAAGUCAGAAAAGUCUUGUUUUGUCUCAUUUAAAUCAAGCUAUCCACCUCCAUUAGAAACAAACCAGAAUACAAUAGGGUAAUCUCAAAGUUAGAAAGCCCAGUAGACAAAAGACAUGGUAUGUUUUAUUAUAUCAACAAAUAAAGACAUGAAAUGCAAGCUUUGGAGGGGGCAAAAGGUAGAUGGAUUCAUAGAGACCAGCACCUGAAUAAGGUACUCCAA
Molecule: RNA transcript, 1468 nt
Organism: Mauremys reevesii (Reeves's turtle)
Lineage: Eukaryota; Metazoa; Chordata; Testudines; Geoemydidae
Gene: CIB3
Gene name: calcium and integrin binding family member 3
Exons: 10
Source: RefSeq, a predicted model, not a curated record